Molecule: long non-coding RNA, 944 nt
Organism: Oncorhynchus keta (chum salmon)
Lineage: Eukaryota; Metazoa; Chordata; Actinopteri; Salmoniformes; Salmonidae
Exons: 6
Source: RefSeq, a predicted model, not a curated record
AUACAGACACACACACACUCUCAGGUAAUACACACCUAGGUAAUACAGACACACACACACUCUCAGGUAACACACACCUAGGUAAUACAGACACACACACACUCUCAGGUAAUACAGACCUAGGUAAUACAGACACACACACACUCUCAGGUAAUACACACCUAGGUAAUACAGACACACACACACUCUCAGGUAAUACAGACACACACACACUCUCAGGUAAUACAGACACACACACACUCUCAGGUAAUACAGACACACACACACUCUCAGGUAAUACACACCUAGGUAAUACAGACACACACACACUCUCAGGUAAUACAGACACACACACACUCUCAGGUAAUACAGACACACACACACUCUCAGGUAAUACAGACACACACACACUCUCAGGUAAUACAGACACACACACACUCUCAGGUAAUACAGACACACACACACUCUCAGGUAAUACAGACACACACACACACUCAGGUAAUACACACCUAGGUAAUACAGACACACACACACUCUCAGGUAAUACAGACACACACACACACACUCAGGUAAUACAGACACACACACACUCUCGGGUAAUACACACCUAGGUAAUACAGACACACACACACUCUCAGGUAAUACAGACACGCACACACUCUCAGGUAAUACAGACACACACACACACACUCAGGUAAUACAGACACACACACACUCAGGUAAUACACACCAAGGUGAUACAGACACACACACACUCUCAGGUAAUACAGACACACACACACUCUCAGGUAAUACAGACACACACACACACACACACACACUAUCGGGUAAUACACACCUAGGUAAUACAGACACACACACACUCAGGUAAUACAGACACACACACACACUCAGGUAAUACAGACACACACACACACUCAGGUAAUACAGACACACACACACUCUCAUGUAAUACAGACACACAC